GGCCUCGAUGCCUCUUUCGGUUAC
This 24-nucleotide non-coding RNA is filed under the name Arabidopsis thaliana (thale cress). Lineage: Eukaryota; Viridiplantae; Streptophyta; Magnoliopsida; Brassicales; Brassicaceae. The record is from RNAcentral.